This 834-nucleotide ribosomal RNA is filed under the name Elphidium advenum. RNAcentral's name for it is "bacterial SSU rRNA". It matches the Rfam family "Eukaryotic small subunit ribosomal RNA", at positions 1160 to 1801 of the family's 1831-position model. Lineage: Eukaryota; Foraminifera; Rotaliida; Elphidiidae. The record is from RNAcentral.
AAGGGCACCACAAGAACGCGUGGAGCAUGUGGCUUAAUUUGACUCAACGCGGGAAAUCUUACCGGGUCCGGACACACUGAGGAUUGACAGACAUAUAUUAAUUUAAUUUAAUUAAUAUUAAAGAUGCUAGUUCUUUCAUGAUUAUGUGAUAGGUGGUGCAUGGCCGUUCUUAGUUCGUGGAGUGAUCUGUCUGCUUAAUUGCGUUUCAUAUUAAAUAUGAAUACUUUACUAUUAUACUAUUUAACUUCGGUUAAUAUGUUAAUUACUAUAUUCUAAGAAAGCAACGAACGUGACCGUAUCCUUUUAUUAACUGUGAUCCUAUACACAGUAUUAAAAAUUAAAGGGACCGCUGUUUCCAACUUAAACCAGAGGAAGGUUAUGGCAAUAACAGGUCUGUGAUGCCCUUAGAUGUUCCGGGCUGCACACGUGCUACAAUGAUUAUUUCAUUAAGUUAAUUAUUAAUUAAAUUCCUAUACCGCGAGGUACUAUGGUAACCAAUUACAAGUAAUGAUUUCAAGCUCUAUACUCCUAUUACUAUUAUUAUUAUACCCUUCUUAAUUUAAUAUUAAGUUGUGAGUAUUUUAAUUAAUUUAAGUAUGUAUUAAUGUUAAUUCAUGGUGGGGACAGUCCAUUGUUAAUUGUUGGUCUCGGUUUUAACUAGGAAUGCCUUGUACUGGUCUUUGGUUCAACAAACCACCAGGAAUACGUCCCUGCCCUUUGUACACACCGCCCGUCGCUCUUACCGAUGAACUCUGCUAUGAGUUUGAAGGAUGAUUAAUAAUUAAAAUUUAUACGAAUAGUUUGGUUUAAAGGAAAGAGAAGUCGAACAAGGCA